CAACACUGUACUGAUUGUUGUGAUCGGUCGGCACGUCGACACAAGCGAAGCCAUUUUGAGUCUUGUUCUUUGGGACGAAGUGCUUUCUUUUAUUUAUAAUUAUUCCUGUAUUUCGACUGCCGGAUCAUUCCCGAUAUUGCUGAUAGAAACGACUCCAACUUGUUCCAAUCUGCUGCUCCUCGAAUGUCGUCGAUCUGGCCGAAUACGGCAAAUGUCCACGGGCCGGAUCUGCUAUCUAGCAGCUGUUGGUGACAACGAAAUUCGGACAGAAAAGAUCACCGCCUGCGUCGCACCGGCGGCAAAUUUGAUCUCCAAGGGCGUUUCCGCAGUCAUUAAUGGAUCCGCAGCAACUUGUACAUUGGACAAUCGCUGACUCGGAGGAAGUUCGGUCAAAUUUCUCUGGAAAAGGAAACCAAAAUGCUCUCUAAAUCGAAAUCCCAAGUCCCAACCCUCGUCGCCCUGGAGGCCCAUACCGUCAGCGAAGGUCCAUUGCCUAACUAACCGCCAUUGCCAAAACCUGAGUCCGUUGGAAUGGUUCAAUUUGAUGUCCACCAAGCGUGCCUUGGCAGCUGAUACGUUGAUGAGAGUAUGGUGCAUGGUGGUCGAGCAUAAACUCUGCGGAAGUCGACGUCCUUUAUAGGUGAAUCCAUGGCGCAGGAUGGCAAUGCAGACGUCUUCGAGUCAAUGUUGCAUUCGCUCUGUCGCUGUCGGAAAACUGCUAUUUAGCUCGACGAUGCGACGAUAGCCGAUGCGGUGAACACGCAUGCAUUCAGUUCGGGCUCUUCCCGGUCGGUUCCAGGUCUUCCUUGGGCGUAGAGUAUGUCCGUGUCUGUGCCUGUCAUAAAUUUAUAAAUAGAGAUCAGUCAAUUUUGAAGUGCCCAUAGUCCACAAGAUAAUGUGCAGGCUAUGUCCUAGUUGGGACGUAACGUCAGAAGACAGAUGAAAAUAAUAAAAUAAACACUGGCACAAACAGUUCAUUCAUUCAUUAAAUAUGGUUUUCUCUUCUAUGACUGAUUACAUUAUGUUUUUAUUCUUUUUCGUUUUAAAUUUAGUGUAUCUCUUAUAUUUUCUUCAUCAAUAUGAAAUUGAGCGAAAAAGGAUGAAAAUGUAAUUUAAUCUGCCAUUGGAGAGCAUUUCAAAUCGAUUUCAUUUUACAUCGCUUCAAUUACAUCAUAUACGUUCACGUCGAAUUUAUUACAUCGCACAAAUUACAUCGGAUCUAUUUAUUACAUUGAAAGCCGUCGAGUACAUCGGGCUGUGUAAUAUUAAUCAAUCGAUGUAACGACCUGGUUGCAGCGAUUUCGAUGUAAUAUUCAACAACUUUUUUUGCU
Aedes albopictus (Asian tiger mosquito) is the source of this 1331-nucleotide long non-coding RNA. RefSeq lists it as uncharacterized. NCBI's taxonomy places the organism in Eukaryota, Metazoa, Arthropoda, Insecta, Diptera, Culicidae. The record is from RefSeq and is a predicted model, not a curated record. The transcript has 3 exons.